GGGCCCGUAGCUCAGCUGGAUAGAGCGCUGGCCUCCGGAGCCAGUGGUCGCGGGUUCGAAUCCCGCCGGGCCCGCCA
RNAcentral lists this transfer RNA (77 nucleotides) under Candidatus Bathyarchaeota archaeon. RNAcentral's name for it is "tRNA-Arg". It matches the Rfam family "tRNA". Rfam says of the family: Transfer RNA (tRNA) molecules are approximately 80 nucleotides in length. Their secondary structure includes four short double-helical elements and three loops (D, anti-codon, and T loops). Further hydrogen bonds mediate the characteristic L-shaped molecular structure. tRNAs have two regions of fundamental functional importance: the anti-codon, which is responsible for specific mRNA codon recognition, and the 3' end, to which the tRNAs corresponding amino acid is attached (by aminoacyl-tRNA synthetases). tRNAs cope with the degeneracy of the genetic code in two manners: having more than one tRNA (with a specific anti-codon) for a particular amino acid; and 'wobble' base-pairing, i.e. permitting non-standard base-pairing at the 3rd anti-codon position. Lineage: Archaea; Thermoproteati; Candidatus Bathyarchaeota. RNAcentral also lists the same sequence under 1 other name. The record is from RNAcentral.